GGCUAACUACGUGCCAGCAGCCGCGGUAAUACGUAGGGUGCGAGCGUUAUCCGGAAUUAUUGGGCGUAAAGAGCUCGUAGGCGGUUUGUCGCGUCUGUCGUGAAAGUCCGGGGCUUAACCCCGGGAUCUGCGGUGGGUACGGGCAGACUAGAGUGCAGUAGGGGAGACUGGAAUUCCUGGUGUAGCGGUGGAAUGCGCAGAUAUCAGGAGGAACACCGAUGGCGAAGGCAGGUCUCUGGGCUGUAACUGACGCUGAGGAGCGAAAGCAUGGGGAGCGAACAGGAUUAGAUACCCUGGUAGUCCAUGCCGUAAACGUUGGGCACUAGGUGUGGGGACCAUUCCACGGUUUCCGCGCCGCAGCUAACGCAUUAAGUGCCCCGCCUGGGGAGUACGGCCGCAAGGCUAAAACUCAAAGGAAUUGACGGGGGCCCGCACAAGCGGCGGAGCAUGCGGAUUAAUUCGAUGCAACGCGAAGAACCUUACCAAGGCUUGACAUGUUCUCGAUCGCCGUAGAGAUACGGUUUCCCCUUUGGGGCGGGUUCACAGGUGGUGCAUGGUUGUCGUCAGCUCGUGUCGUGAGAUGUUGGGUUAAGUCCCGCAACGAGCGCAACCCUCGUUCCAUGUUGCCAGCACGUCGUGGUGGGGACUCAUGGGAGACUGCCGGGGUCAACUCGGAGGAAGGUGAGGACGACGUCAAAUCAUCAUGCCCCUUAUGUCUUGGGCUUCACGCAUGCUACAAUGGCCGGUACAAUGGGUUGCGAUACUGUGAGGUGGAGCUAAUCCCAAAAAGCCGGUCUCAGUUCGGAUUGGGGUCUGCAACUCGACCCCAUGAAGUCGGAGUCGCUAGUAAUCGCAGAUCAGCAACGCUGCGGUGAAUACGUUCCCGGGCCUUGUACACACCGCCCGUCAAGUCACGAAAGUUGGUAACACCCGAAGCCGG
RNAcentral lists this ribosomal RNA (940 nucleotides) under Micrococcus sp. RNAcentral's name for it is "bacterial SSU rRNA". It matches the Rfam family "Bacterial small subunit ribosomal RNA", at positions 495 to 1430 of the family's 1533-position model. Lineage: Bacteria; Bacillati; Actinomycetota; Actinomycetes; Micrococcales; Micrococcaceae. The record is from RNAcentral.